Molecule: non-coding RNA, 22 nt
Filed under: Arabidopsis thaliana (thale cress)
Lineage: Eukaryota; Viridiplantae; Streptophyta; Magnoliopsida; Brassicales; Brassicaceae
Source: RNAcentral
UGAGAUUGAUUUUAGGUUCUUA